Molecule: long non-coding RNA, 372 nt
Organism: Quercus lobata
Lineage: Eukaryota; Viridiplantae; Streptophyta; Magnoliopsida; Fagales; Fagaceae
Exons: 3
Source: RefSeq, a predicted model, not a curated record
GGUUCGUCAUGAAGCAAUACACGAGCCUGGAAGACGAAGUAGGUUGUGGAAGUAUGAGGAUAUCUUUUCUAUACUGAGGAAUAAUACUGGAACAGAAUAUGUUAAAGGCAUGAUGCUAAACUCCCCUCCAUGUAAAGAACACUUGAAUGCCAAUGCCUUCUCAAAGAUGGGAGGACUAGAGUUGAUUAAGAUCUGCAGUGCAGUCCGUUUUUGGGGCCUUAAUCAUCUUUCUAAUCAAUUACGAAUGAUGGAAUGGCAUGAUUAUCCAUUGAAAUCCAUGCCAAGGAGUUUUUGACCAUGCAAUCUUGUUGAACUUACUAUGCCUAAUAGCCAGAUUGAGCAACUACCAGAAGUAUUUAAUAAUUUGAACCU